Long non-coding RNA from Papilio xuthus (Asian swallowtail), 464 nucleotides. RefSeq lists it as uncharacterized. The record is from RefSeq and is a predicted model, not a curated record. The transcript has 2 exons. Lineage: Eukaryota; Metazoa; Arthropoda; Insecta; Lepidoptera; Papilionidae.
AAUUAAAAUUUUAAUCCUCGUAUAUUCUUUGGCCAAACAAAGAAUACAAUGAAGUUAAUAAAAUAAAAAUGUGUCAACAAAAUAUUCUGGGACGCUGAAAAGCAGUAUAAAAAUAUGACACGAUCAGAUGACCACAGUAACAUAGAUUCAGAGGCCGGCUCUGUGCGUGUGGGAAGGAUCAGCAAGCUGGGGGCAGUGCUGUGCCCCGCGGUGUGUGCGCUGCUUCUUGUGGUGAUAUUCGCAGUAUCCUUCGUCGGUAGUAAGCUGGCUAUCGAUAGAUACGGCGCAUUCUGCACCAACCGACGGUAUACUGGCGCCAAACGAUAUGUGUUCCCCGAUCUUAAUCUCACUUGAUGGGUGUCCUGGGUAAAAGAAAAUAAUAUAUUUAUUUUGUUACAUUUUAGUUUUUAUCCUCGUGUCGUGUGUUUGUUAGUAGAAUGUUUUAAUACAAUUGGCAAGAUAUA